GAUUUCUGGUACGGCGCGCUUGGCCCGCCAGGGUUACCUGGUUGUGUGCUGGUGCGCGCCUGCCAUCCUUCUGCAUAUCAGUUCUAUCCUUUACUGGUGUGAACUGGUUUGUAGAUCUUUUACUUUGAAAAAAUUAGAGUGUUUCAAGCAGGCGUUUUGCUAUGAAUACAUUAGCAUGGAAUAAUGAGUUAGGACUUCGGUUCUAUUUUGUUGGUUUCUAGGACUGAAGUAAUGAUUGAUAGGGAUAGUUGGGGGUGCUAGUAUUCAGCGGCCAGAGGUGAAAUUCUUGGAUUCGCUGAAGACUAACUUAUGCGAAAGCAUU
Molecule: ribosomal RNA, 322 nt
Filed under: Cercomonas sp.
Lineage: Eukaryota; Cercozoa; Cercomonadida; Cercomonadidae
Description: SSU rRNA
Rfam family: Eukaryotic small subunit ribosomal RNA (bases 59-322)
Source: RNAcentral